This 42-nucleotide ribosomal RNA is filed under the name Thermus thermophilus. RNAcentral's name for it is "Fragment of23S rRNA (H89) from Thermus thermophilus (PDB 2OM7, chain H)". The record is from RNAcentral. Lineage: Bacteria; Thermotogati; Deinococcota; Deinococci; Thermales; Thermaceae.
GCUGAUCUCCCCCGAGCGUCCACAGCGGCGGGGAGGUUUGGC